RNAcentral lists this ribosomal RNA (460 nucleotides) under uncultured bacterium. RNAcentral's name for it is "partial 16S ribosomal RNA". It matches the Rfam family "Bacterial small subunit ribosomal RNA", at positions 338 to 795 of the family's 1533-position model. The record is from RNAcentral.
CCUACGGGUCGCUGCAGUGAGGAAUAUUGGUCAAUGGACGAGAGUCUGAACCAGCCAAGUAGCGUGAAGGAUGACUGCCCUAUGGGUUGUAAACUUCUUUUAUAUGGGAAUAAAACGUUCCACGUGUGGGAUUUUGUAUGUACUAUAUGAAUAAGGAUCGGCUAACUCCGUGCCAGCAGCCGCGGUAAUACGGAGGAUCCGAGCGUUAUCCGGAUUUAUUGGGUUUAAAGGGAGCGUAGGUGGAUUGUUAAGUCAGUUGUGAAAGUUUGCGGCUCAACCGUAAAAUUGCAGUUGAAACUGGCAGUCUUGAGUACAGUAGAGGUGGGCGGAAUUCGUGGUGUAGCGGUGAAAUGCUUAGAUAUCACGAAGAACUCCGAUUGCGAAGGCAGUUCACUGGACUGCAACUGACACUGAGGCUCGAAAGUGUGGGUAUCAAACAGGAUUAGAUACCCCAGUAGUC